Molecule: ribosomal RNA, 70 nt
Filed under: Steinernema feltiae
Lineage: Eukaryota; Metazoa; Nematoda; Chromadorea; Rhabditida; Steinernematidae
Description: partial 28S ribosomal RNA
Rfam family: Eukaryotic large subunit ribosomal RNA
Source: RNAcentral
ACGACCUCAACCCAAGCAAGAUUACCCGCUGAACUUAAGCAUAUCAGUAAGCGGAGGAAAGAAACUAACU